AUUGAACGCUGGCGGCAUGCCUUACACAUGCAAGUCGAUCGGCGGCACGGGAGCAAUCCUGGUGGCGAGUGGCGAACGGGUGAGUAAAGUAUCGGAACGUGCCCAGUCGUGGGGGAUAACGUAGCGAAAGUUACGCUAAUACCGCAUACGAUCUAUGGAUGAAAGCGGGGGAUCGCAAGACCUCGCGCGAUUGGAGCGGCCGAUAUAAGAUUAGGUAGUUGGUGGGGUAAAGGCACACCAAGCCGACGAUCUGUAGCUGGGCUGAGAGGACGACCAGCCACACUGGGACGGAGACACGGCCCAGACUCCUACUGGGGGCAGCAGUAGGGAAUUUUGGACAAUGGGCGGAAGCCGGAUCCAGCCAUGCCGCGUGCAGGAUGAAGGCCUUCGGGUUGUAAACUGCUUUUGUACGGAACGAAAAGGUUUGAGCUAAUAAGCUGAGCUCAUGACGGUACCGUAAGAAUAAGCACCGGCUAACUACGUGCCAGCCGCCGCCGUAA
Molecule: ribosomal RNA, 500 nt
Filed under: uncultured bacterium
Lineage: Bacteria
Description: partial 16S ribosomal RNA
Rfam family: Bacterial small subunit ribosomal RNA
Source: RNAcentral